Molecule: long non-coding RNA, 988 nt
Filed under: Homo sapiens (human)
Lineage: Eukaryota; Metazoa; Chordata; Mammalia; Primates; Hominidae
Description: HSALNT0291693
Source: RNAcentral
GAGGGCGCGCGGGAACCCGGCCCGGCCGUACCCCGCCGGCCUGCCGACCCGGGUCCGGGGGCCCAGUUGGCGCCCGGACCAGCUCUCCGGUCUGCGUCCUGUAGAUGGGAAAACUGAGGCCUGAGAGGGCGCGAGGGCGGGGACGAGGCCGAGGACUCGGGUUCGAAUCUCGAGGACGCCAGUAGCCCGCUCUGAGGCCGCGUGGGGCUGGUGGAGGAGCCACCGGUCGGGCCCCCAAGACCGGCUGACGUGGGCCUCGCCUCGGGCGACUCCCGCCGGGCUAGUGGCUGGCCGUGUGGUGACCUUGGGCGAGUUACUUCGCACAGCCACCCAGGGGCCUCUUCUCCAACACGAUAGCACUGCACCCGGAGGGUAAUGUGAAAUGGUGAGACAUGAUUCCUCAGAGCUCUGUUAUCCCACAAGUCUGUGUCUACCAGCCGCACAAGGAAAAUCUUUCACGAGGUUCCUCUCAGUUCCUGUGGCAGACAGACUCUUGGGGAAGUUGCUCACCAUCCCACCUGCUGAUGUCAUGGCUUUCUAAGCAAGCUGGCAUGUGGCAGCCUGCGGAUGUUGGGAGGCCACACGGCAAGGAACUGCAGCAUCUCUAGGAGCUGAGGGUGGACCCUGACUGGCAGCCAACAACAAACUGAAGCUCUCAAGCCUACCACCAUAAGGAAUUGAAUUCUGCCAAUAACCUGAGCCUUCAGACCUGAGCUGAAAUCUACACCACCGGCUCUCUGACUAUCAGGCUUUGGACUAUACUUUGGGCUUUCCUGGGUCUCUUACCUGGCAGACAGCAGAUUUUGGAACUUUUCAGCCUCCAUAAUCAUUUCCCAGAAGAACCACAAAGCAUAAAUUUCCCCAAAAGGGGAAUUUUGUUGAUGGCUUUAGUCUAUUCCCUCCUAAAAGACCAGCUACAACCAAAUGAAGUGAACAUAACCUCAAGGGUGUAUUGUCUUCAUAAUAAAAGAUGAAGCUUAGAACUGGA